GAUGAAGAACGUAGCGUAAUGCGAUACGUAAUGUGAAUUGCAGAAUUCAGUGAAUCAUCGAAUCUUUGAACGCAUAUUGCGCUCUCUGGUAUUCCGGAGAGCAUGCUUGUUUGAGUAUCAGUAAACACCUCAACUCCCUUUUCUUUUUUGAAAUUGGAGCUGGACUUGAGUGAUCCCAACGCUUUCUUCCAAGAAAGUGGCGGGUUGCUUGAAAUGCAGGUGCAGCUGAACUUUUCUCUGAGCUAUAAGCAUAUCUAUUUAGUCUGCCUAAAAAACAGAUUAUUACCUUUGCUGCAGCUAACAUAAAGGAGACUAGUUCUUGUGCUGACUGAUGCAGGAUUCACAGAGACAGCUUCGGCUGACUUUGUAAACUCGAUCUCAAAUCAAGUAAGACUACCCGCUGAACUUAAGCAUAUCAAUAAGCGGAGGA
Molecule: unclassified non-coding RNA, 430 nt
Filed under: soil metagenome
Description: partial contains 5.8S ribosomal RNA, internal transcribed spacer 2, and large subunit ribosomal RNA
Rfam family: 5.8S ribosomal RNA (bases 1-120)
Source: RNAcentral